GGGCAUUUAGUUCAAUGGUAGAACGCUUGUUUAACAAGCAAGAGGCCAGUGGUUCGAUUCCACUAGUGCCCACCA
Molecule: transfer RNA, 75 nt
Filed under: Bacilli bacterium
Lineage: Bacteria; Bacillati; Bacillota; Bacilli
Description: tRNA-Val
Rfam family: tRNA
About the family: Transfer RNA (tRNA) molecules are approximately 80 nucleotides in length.
Source: RNAcentral